RNAcentral lists this unclassified non-coding RNA (73 nucleotides) under Chryseobacterium wanjuense. RNAcentral describes it as "Flavo-1 RNA". The record is from RNAcentral. Lineage: Bacteria; Pseudomonadati; Bacteroidota; Flavobacteriia; Flavobacteriales; Weeksellaceae.
UUGCAGCCCGGCUUGAACGGAGCUCUUUUUGCGAGGAACGAGCAAAAAAGCGGGAGUGGAAGACGGAUAAAGC